GAUGAACGCUAGCGGCAGGCCUAACACAUGCAAGUCAGGGGUGACAUGAAAAGCUUGCUUUUCUGAUGACGACCGGCGCACGGGUGCGUAACGCGUAUACAACCUACCUUUUAGCGGGGAAUAGCCCAGGGAAACUUGGAUUAAUGCCCCAUAGUAUAUGGACUUCUCCUGAAGUUUAUAUUAAACAUUUAUGGCUAUUAGAUGGGUAUGCGUCCUAUUAGUUAGUUGGUAAGGUAACGGCUUACCAAGGCAGCGAUAGGUAGGGGUCCUGAGAGGGAGAUCCCCACACUGGUACUGAGACACGGACCAGACUCCUACGGGAGGCAGCAGUGAGGAAUAUUGGACAAUGGGCGAGAGCCUGAUCCAGCCAUGCCGCGUGCAGGAAGACUGCCCUAUGGGUUGUAAACUGUCUUUUACAGAGGAAGAACCCACCCCCACGUGUGGGGGUUUGACGGUACUCUGCGAAUAAGGAUCGGCUAACUCCGUG
RNAcentral lists this ribosomal RNA (487 nucleotides) under uncultured bacterium. RNAcentral describes it as "bacterial SSU rRNA". It matches the Rfam family "Bacterial small subunit ribosomal RNA", at positions 28 to 507 of the family's 1533-position model. The record is from RNAcentral.